RNAcentral lists this ribosomal RNA (253 nucleotides) under uncultured bacterium. RNAcentral's name for it is "partial 16S ribosomal RNA". It matches the Rfam family "Bacterial small subunit ribosomal RNA", at positions 524 to 776 of the family's 1533-position model. The record is from RNAcentral.
UACAGAGGGGGCAAGCGUUGUUCGGAAUUACUGGGCGUAAAGGGCGCGUAGGCGGCCCGCUAAGUCGAACGUGAAAUCCCCAGGCUUAACCUGGGAACUGCGUCCGAUACUGGCAGGCUUGAAUCCGGGAGAGGGAUGUGGAAUUCCAGGUGUAGCGGUGAAAUGCGUUGAUAUCUGGAGGAACACCGGUGGCGAAGGCGGCAUCCUGGACCGGCAUUGACGCUGAGGCGCGAAAGCUAGGGGAGCAAACGGG